GUGUCAGCCGCCGCGGUAAUACGAAAGGGGCUAGCGUUGUUCGGAAUUACUGGGCGUAAAGCGCGCGUAGGCGGCCUUGCAAGUUGGGGGUGAAAUCCCGGGGCUCAACCCCGGAACUGCCUCCAAAACUUCUGGUCUGGAGUUCGAGAGAGGUGAGUGGAAUUCCGAGUGUAGAGGUGAAAUUCGUAGAUAUUCGGAGGAACACCAGUGGCGAAGGCGGCUCACUGGCUCGAUACUGACGCUGAGGUGCGAAAGUGUGGGGAGCAAACAGGAUUAGAUACCCUGGUAGUCCACACCGUAAACGAUGAAUGCCAGUCGUCGGGUAGCAUGCUAUUCGGUGACACACCUAACGGAUUAAGCAUUCCGCCUGGGGAGUACGGCCGCAAGGUUAAAACUCAAAGGAAUUGACGGGG
RNAcentral lists this ribosomal RNA (413 nucleotides) under uncultured prokaryote. RNAcentral's name for it is "bacterial SSU rRNA". It matches the Rfam family "Bacterial small subunit ribosomal RNA", at positions 505 to 918 of the family's 1533-position model. The record is from RNAcentral.